UGGAUCGAUGAUGACCACUGAUGGCGUAUGAGUUGUGUACGCUGAAUACGUGUUUGGAACUCUGAGGUCCAA
This is a small nucleolar RNA of Ailuropoda melanoleuca (giant panda), 72 nucleotides long. The record is from Ensembl. NCBI's taxonomy places the organism in Eukaryota, Metazoa, Chordata, Mammalia, Carnivora, Ursidae.